ACCCUAAUCAACACAAUUUCAUCAAAUUGAAGGGGCAAAUCAAGUCCAAAUCAAAAUCCGAGUAUGAAUUAGUGAUCUCCAUUGAAAAAGGAGUCAUGAGUUUGACGCUUGACAAGCUAGGUGGAGGCUUGGAAAGGAAGCGGGUCAAACGAAGCAAGAAUGGCGGAAAAGCAUAAUUCGGAUGCAAGGUACACCUUGGAUGCCGGAAGACGAUCAAGCUCAACGAAGAACCGAACACGAUAUAGAUACACGCUUCCACACUUUGCCAUGUUGUGAAUCACCUAGGGUCAAAACCAUUAAAACAUUAGUUUUGACUUUGAUACAUAAGGAUUAAACAUAUG
Molecule: long non-coding RNA, 341 nt
Organism: Helianthus annuus (common sunflower)
Lineage: Eukaryota; Viridiplantae; Streptophyta; Magnoliopsida; Asterales; Asteraceae
Exons: 3
Source: RefSeq, a predicted model, not a curated record